GACGAACGCUAGCGGCAGGCCUAAUACAUGCAAGUCGAACGGGUGGUCGCAAGAUCACUAGUGGCGCACGGGUGCGUACCGCGUAACCAACCUUCAGCGAUCUGGGGGUUAGCCCGCCGAAAGGUGGAUUAAUACCGCAUAUUCCCGCAGCCUAGCUUCAGCCAACGGGGAAAGAUUUGUUGGAUUGGGCUGGGGGUGCGUGACAUGAGCUGGAUGGCGGGGUAAGGGCCCACCAAGGCGACGAUGUCUAGGGGACCUGAGGGGGUGAUCCGCCACACUGGAGCGGAGAUACGGGCCAGGCUCCGACGGGCGGCAGCAGUAGGGAGGAGAGGGAGAGGGGGGGGAGCCUGACCCAGGCAGGCCGCGUGACGGAUGAAGGGCUUCGGGGGUGUAAACGGCUUUUGUCAGGGAAGAAAAAGUCCUUGGGAGGUACACUGACGGUACCGGAGGAAUAAGCACCGGCUAACUCCGUG
This 473-nucleotide ribosomal RNA is filed under the name uncultured bacterium. Its description in RNAcentral is "partial 16S ribosomal RNA". It matches the Rfam family "Bacterial small subunit ribosomal RNA", at positions 28 to 507 of the family's 1533-position model. The record is from RNAcentral.